Molecule: unclassified non-coding RNA, 207 nt
Filed under: Hevea brasiliensis (rubber tree)
Lineage: Eukaryota; Viridiplantae; Streptophyta; Magnoliopsida; Malpighiales; Euphorbiaceae
Source: RNAcentral
AAGCAUGUUGGCAGCAAAUGGAUGCUUAAAGUAAAUGUUGGGAGAAGUCUAGGUUAGCAUUCAAUAGUAGAACGCAACCCACGCCUUUUAUUUCAACCCAUCGCCAAUGCUCAUGCAAUGGCAUAUUUGAUGUAGAAGAGGUUGCGACAGUCACAAUGCAAUUACUCAAACAAGGACAAGGGCCCUCUCCCUUCCGAUACUUUCACC